UCUCUGAUUCUCCUCCGCACAAACGUCGACCCACCUCCGAUCUGCUGUUCUCUCUUGACCCUUUCAUAAUCUCUUCUAUUCCGUUCCAUUUCUCCCCAUUUCUUUGUAAGUUCUUUACAUUCGAUUUUUUCCCGAGAGAUCUUUGCAAAGUUUCAAGGUUUUUUUUUUGCGAUUGUUUGUUUUAGAAUGGAUAGUAAUUAUUCAGCUAUACCCAAAGGCACCGAUGUAGAAUUACAAAUGCAGAAUGAACCCCAGGACUUUAGAUCCCAACAGAAAUUUCUCCUUUCCGAUGACGGAAACUGGGUAAAUCACGCCAAGGUUGCUCACGACUUUGAUGAUCUUAACGAGGAGGACGACAACAAUAUCGAUGUUGAUCCUGAUGAUUAUACCCUUGUUCUGAGUAAACCCAAUACUGGGUCUGGUAUUGCUGGUGCUGUUUUUAACUUAACUACCACAAUUAUUGGUGCGGGAAUCAUGGCUUUGCCUGCUACUAUGAAGGUUCUUGGAGUUGUUUUGGGGAUUUGUUUGAUAAUCCUGAUUGGGUUUUUGUCUGAAAUGAGUGUCGAGAUGUUGAUUAGGUUUGCGGUUUCUUGUAAAGCUAGAUCUUAUGGGGAAGUUGUUCAGAUUGCAAUGGGGAAAACCGCUAGGAUUUUAUCUGAGAUUUGCAUAAUUGUCAACAAUACAGGUGUUUUGAUAGUUUAUUUGAUUAUCAUGGGUGAUGUUAUGUCCGGUUCGGUUCGUCAUCUUGGGAUUUUUGACCAGUGGUUGGGACAUGGCUUUUGGGAUCAUAGGAAGUUGUUGGUUUUGGUUGUUAUGGUUGUUUUUCUUGCUCCACUUUGCUUGUUAAAUAGGAUCGAAUCAUUGAGCACCACAUCGGCUGCUUCGGUCGCUCUGGCCGUCGUUUUCGUUGCGGUUUGCUUUGCUGUUGCAUUCAUUAAGCUUGUUGAAGGGAAAAUUGAUCCUCCAAGGAUGAGCCCCGAUCUCAGGUCGAAAAUGGCAAUUUGGGAUUUAAUAGUAGUUAUACCUGUCAUGACGAAUGCAUAUGUUUGCCAUUUUAAUAUCCAGCCUAUAUAUAACGAGCUCGAAGGGCGAUCGCCUCAAAAGAUGAACAGGGUUGGAAGGAUCACAACUUCUAUUUGUGUUGUAGUCUAUGCCUCAACAGCUAUAUCAGGGUAUUUGCUCUUUGGGAAGGACACUGAAGGUGAUGUUUUGACCGAUUUCGAUAGGGAUCUUGGAAUUCGUUUUAGCACUGCUUUGAAUUAUAUCGUCCGGAUCGGUUACAUUUUCCAUUUGAUUCUGGUUUUCCCUGUUAUCCACUUUUCCCUACGGCAAACCGUGGAUAGAUUGGUGUUUGAGGGAUCGGCUCCUCUAACAGAGAGUCGUAAAAGGUCAUUCGCAUUAACAGUAAUAUUGUUAAUGCUUAUUUAUGUCGGAUCUACUAUGAUCCCGAAUAUAUGGACAGCUUUCAAAUUUACAGGAGCAACAACGGCUGUUUCAUUAGGUUUUACAUUCCCUGCUCUCAUUGCAUUGAGGCUAAGUCAGCAGGAAGAGGGGUUGAGCUUGAGUAGAGUAGAAAAACUUUUGUCCUGGUUGAUGUUAAUUUUGGCUAUAAUUGUUAGCAUUUCUGGGACGAUCGGAAAUAUUUAUACUAUCCAAAGUAAAUCCGAAUGAUUCCUCUAGAAGAGUUUCGGGCCUGUUUUCCCAAGGUAUGAUUUUGAUAAUUUUGCUUGUAGCCUUGACGAUGGUUAAUCUGUUUCGAUGUUGCUUUGCUUGCUCAAUAGACGAACAGAUGGUUUCGGAUGAUGAUAUAGAGCAACUGCGACCGGUUACUCGGCAUACAAUGGGAGGACUUGGGAGGAUACUGAAUGGACCCUCAUCUCUUGUAACCUGUAAGUUAUUUUGACUUUACAAAUCAAAACCAUGCUACGGAUAUGCUUACUUAACAUUCUUCUUGCACGAAAGAUUCGAGUAUAACUAUUUGCCGGUGGAAAAAUACUAGAACAGAUUUAGUAAUACUUACAUUUUUAUUAAGAGGAAGACUUUUUUUUUUUUGCUUCUGGAGAAAAGAUCUGUAAUGUACUGUAAUAGUUUUCAUGAUACUUGUGCUGCUACUUGCUUGCUUCUAUUCAAAUGAUACGUAUUAGAUGCUA
Molecule: RNA transcript, 2150 nt
Organism: Hibiscus syriacus
Lineage: Eukaryota; Viridiplantae; Streptophyta; Magnoliopsida; Malvales; Malvaceae
Gene name: amino acid transporter AVT6E-like
Exons: 2
Source: RefSeq, a predicted model, not a curated record